AUACAAGAAGAAACCUUUCAAAAGUUCGUGGGGAUUUCAGCAUCUGGCACACAAUAAAGUUGCAAGUCAAUAUCAAGAAUGAAUCAUUAAUAUAUGUUAUACCACAAUCUCCUUGAAAUAGAGGAAAAGUGAUUUAAUUAACUUUAUAUUCCCAACAUCUGACAAACAUCAGCUACCAUCAAUAAGCAUUUGUGGAAUUAAAGCCACGUAUAUGAUGAAAAGUUAAGAUUAAAAACAAAAACCUCAUAUGUUCAAGUGUAACAUCAACAGCAGAUCAUCCCUAUAAGCCGAUACAACUGAAUACUAAUCAACAGUAACACAGAAUAAACUAUAGUUAUGUAGAACAGAAAGGAGGAGAUUGAGUAGAAGAAUCCAAA
Molecule: long non-coding RNA, 377 nt
Organism: Lutra lutra (Eurasian river otter)
Lineage: Eukaryota; Metazoa; Chordata; Mammalia; Carnivora; Mustelidae
Exons: 4
Source: RefSeq, a predicted model, not a curated record